UGGCUUAGACGGUAAAGCGUCUGCCUGCAAUGUGGGAGACCUGGGUUCGAUUCCUGG
RNAcentral lists this transfer RNA (57 nucleotides) under Ovis aries (sheep). It matches the Rfam family "tRNA", at positions 8 to 63 of the family's 71-position model. Rfam says of the family: Transfer RNA (tRNA) molecules are approximately 80 nucleotides in length. Their secondary structure includes four short double-helical elements and three loops (D, anti-codon, and T loops). Lineage: Eukaryota; Metazoa; Chordata; Mammalia; Artiodactyla; Bovidae. The record is from Rfam by way of RNAcentral.